RNAcentral lists this long non-coding RNA (317 nucleotides) under Sinocyclocheilus grahami. RNAcentral describes it as "lncRNA (ENSSGRG00000021762.1)". Lineage: Eukaryota; Metazoa; Chordata; Actinopteri; Cypriniformes; Cyprinidae. The record is from RNAcentral.
GACAGCAUGAUCUUUUCUCCACUAUUAUACGGAAGACAGACUCGGCUCGAAUAUGGCCAGGGCAGAUAUUGAAAUGGACAUUCAGAGACACGAGGACUCGGCGGGAGGAAGACAUGAUGAUGAAGGGCCGCUCAUAAAGUACUACCGGGCCAGUGAAGUUCUGCCGGGCCCCGUGCCGGCGCUGCAGCGGCUCCUCAGGAAGGGACCGGCCACCUGCGCCGCCGUUCAGUCGUCCAGUGGGAUCCUGAGUUUUGGGAUCGGGGUUGUAUUUGCAGUGUCUUUCGGGAUCGAAAAUAAUUUCCUGACUUUAUUCCGAG